RNAcentral lists this ribosomal RNA (477 nucleotides) under Escherichia coli. Its description in RNAcentral is "bacterial SSU rRNA". It matches the Rfam family "Bacterial small subunit ribosomal RNA", at positions 55 to 521 of the family's 1533-position model. The record is from RNAcentral. Lineage: Bacteria; Pseudomonadati; Pseudomonadota; Gammaproteobacteria; Enterobacterales; Enterobacteriaceae.
AUGCAAGUCGAACGGUAACAGGAAGCAGCUUGCUGCUUCGCUGACGAGUGGCGGACGGGUGAGUAAUGUCUGGGAAACUGCCUGAUGGAGGGGGAUAACUACUGGAAACGGUAGCUAAUACCGCAUAAUGUCGCAAGACCAAAGAGGGGGACCUUCGGGCCUCUUGCCAUCGGAUGUGCCCAGAUGGGAUUAGCUUGUUGGUGGGGUAACGGCUCACCAAGGCGACGAUCCCUAGCUGGUCUGAGAGGAUGACCAGCCACACUGGAACUGAGACACGGUCCAGACUCCUACGGGAGGCAGCAGUGGGGAAUAUUGCACAAUGGGCGCAAGCCUGAUGCAGCCAUGCCGCGUGUAUGAAGAAGGCCUUCGGGUUGUAAAGUACUUUCAGCGGGGAGGAAGGGAGUAAAGUUAAUACCUUUGCUCAUUGACGUUACCCGCAGAAGAAGCACCGGCUAACUCCGUGCCAGCAGCCGCGGU